RNAcentral lists this ribosomal RNA (290 nucleotides) under uncultured bacterium. Its description in RNAcentral is "partial 16S ribosomal RNA". It matches the Rfam family "Bacterial small subunit ribosomal RNA", at positions 29 to 334 of the family's 1533-position model. The record is from RNAcentral.
AACGAACGCUGGCGGCAGGCCUAACACAUGCAAGUCGAACGAUGAAGUGGACUUCGGUCCAUGGAAGAGUGGCGGACGGGUGAGUAACGCGUGGGAACGUGCCCUUGGGUAUGGAACAACUACUGGAAACGGUGGCUAAUACCAUAUGAUGUCUUCGGACCAAAGAUUUAUCGCCCAAGGAUCGGCCCGCGUUGGAUUAGUUAGUUGGUGAGGUAAUGGCUCACCAAGGCGACGAUCCAUAGCUGGUCUGAGAGGAUGAUCAGCCACACUGGGACUGAGACACGGCCCAG